GACAGUGCGAGGGCCUUAUCUGGAUCGGGUUUCGCUGGCUAACGUGUUGUUAAAAGCGAGUAAGCGAGUAAAUCUUCAAUUCGUUGUCGACGAAACCUGCACGGAAUAAGGCACGGCAGCAAU
This 123-nucleotide microRNA precursor is filed under the name Anopheles maculatus. RNAcentral describes it as "microRNA mir-981". The stretch from base 14 to 111 matches the Rfam family "mir-981 microRNA precursor family". The record is from RNAcentral. Lineage: Eukaryota; Metazoa; Arthropoda; Insecta; Diptera; Culicidae.